RNAcentral lists this long non-coding RNA (1273 nucleotides) under Olea europaea subsp. europaea. The record is from RNAcentral. Lineage: Eukaryota; Viridiplantae; Streptophyta; Magnoliopsida; Lamiales; Oleaceae.
AGGUUGAAUUAUGUCAAAGGUGAUAGGAUUUUCGCUUGACAUUUUGGAGAUGAGAAAAGUGAAGAAAUCUAAGAAGGUUUCUUCUUUUACGAUGAUAGUCGACGAUAUGAUUUUUCGUGUCAGAACGAGCUACCGGAUGCCUCUUUCCCAGCGGUCCACAAGCACAAUCUUUUAGAGCUAUCAUUGAUAGAUGAUGAUUUGACUGUGCUUACUUUUCCUUCCGAUUAUUUUGCAUUUUUUGACCUAGGUGUGGUAGCACUUGGACACGUUACGAGCAACUUUGUCAAGUGAAGGCCGCCGAGAACAUGAUGGCUCAGAUUUUUAAGGUAUAAUAUUUUUUGUAUACUUCAUUAUGGAUAACCCAUUUGAUUGGACCUAACUGGUUUUUAUUGUCUUUAGUGAUUGUAAAGGGCUAUUUUUUAGAAGAACGAAGGCAUUAAAUAGGCUAGAAAGGUACGCUUCCUACAAGAUACGAAUACCUUAUUACAUGGAAAAGUUGAAAAUUUUAAGGUGGGAGAAACUACUUGGCUACCAAAAAGGUGGUAGAUGAGUUGGCGGAGAUGGUUAGUAAAAAGCUAGCUUUGGAGGAGGAGCUUGCAAAGAAAAAAAAUCCUCGGGAGUUCAGAUUGCUUUUUUGGAGGAUGUUUUGGAAAAUUAUCAUCUAGAGGUUUAGAUAACUACAAUUGCCUUUGAUAAUUAUGUUUUUACACUUAUUUAACACCCAAAUAUGCUAAUUAAUGAUUAAAUUGAGCGAAUUCCUAUUCAUAAUUGUGUAUUUAUGGCUUUUAUAGGUGAAACAACUCAAGGAAGGAGAACAAAGCAAAUGAGGUGAAAAUGGAUCAAAAUCACACAAAAUUGUGAAGUUGGGGACCAAAAUGUACAAGUUCCAGAGUUCAAGGACUUUAUGUUGCAAUUUAUAAAGGGCUUAAUCGAAAGAAAAAUCAAGAUUUGAGGAUCAAUUGUACAAAUUCAUAGUUGAGGGACAUAAUGUGCUUACACUGAAGGACUUAAGCUACAAAUCACUGGAUAAGGGGGCAUCGCCUAGGCACUACUAGGGCACCCACUCGCUGUCCAUUUAUAGAUUUUUGGUGUCGAGGAGCCCUGGCUAUUGAUUGGGGUGUUUUAUUUUGUUUUUCAAAAUCCAGGGACUAAUUUGCAAUUUUUGGGGAUGGUAUUUUGCCCUUUUUAAAUGCAUUUGUCAAUCAUUUUAACCUUAUUCCAUCUUUCAUCGGUUUGAACACACAAAAAUCCUAGGCUUAAGAGAAAAAAUAGU